RNAcentral lists this ribosomal RNA (915 nucleotides) under uncultured archaeon. RNAcentral's name for it is "bacterial SSU rRNA". It matches the Rfam family "Archaeal small subunit ribosomal RNA", at positions 1 to 922 of the family's 1478-position model. The record is from RNAcentral.
UUCCGGUUGAUCCUGCCGGAGGUCACUGCUAUUGGGAUUCGACUAAGCCAUGCGAGUCGAGAGGGUUCGGCCCUCGGCAAACGGCUCAGUAACACGUGGAUAAUCUGCCCUUAGGUGGAGGAUAACCUCGGGAAACUGAGAAUAAUACUCCAUAGAUCUAGGAUGUUGGAAUGCACUUAGAUUGAAAGUUCCGGCGCCUAAGGAUGAGUCUGCGGACUAUCAGGUAGUAGUCAGGGUAAAGGCCUGACUAGCCUACGACGGAUACGGGUUGUGAGAGCAAUAACCCGGAGACGAUAUCUGAGACACGAUAUCGGGCCCUACGGGGCGCAGCAGGCGCGAAACCUUCACAAUGUGCGAAAGCGCGAUGAGGGGAUCCCAAGUGCUUGCUCGUAAGAGUAAGCUGUUUUUAUGUCUAAAACGCAUAGAGAGUAAGGGCUGGGUAAGACGGGUGCCAGCCGCCGCGGUAAUACCUGCAGCUCAAGUGGUGACCGCUAUUAUUGGGCCUAAAACAUUCGUAGCCGGUUUGGUAAAUGCCUGGGUAAAUCGUGUAGCUUAACUAUACGAAUUCCGGGUAGACUGCCAAACUUGAGACCGGGAGAAGCUAGAGGUACUCCUUGGGUAGAGGUGAAAUUCUGUAAUCCUAGGGGGACCACCAGUGGCGAAGGCGUCUAGCUAGAACGAGUUUGACGGUGAGGAAUGAAGCCCUGGGGCGCAAACCGGAUUAGAUACCCGGGUAGUCCAGGGUGUAAACGCUGCUUGCUUGAUGUUAGUUGGGCUCCGAGCCCAAUUAGUGUCGGAGAGAAGUUGUUAAGCAAGCUGCCUGGGAAGUACGAUCGCAAGAUUGAAACUUAAAGGAAUUGGCGGGGGAGCACAGCAACGGGUGGAGCGUGCGGUUUAAUUGGAUUCAACGCCGGA